This 253-nucleotide ribosomal RNA is filed under the name uncultured bacterium. RNAcentral describes it as "partial 16S ribosomal RNA". It matches the Rfam family "Bacterial small subunit ribosomal RNA", at positions 524 to 776 of the family's 1533-position model. The record is from RNAcentral.
UACAGGGGGUGCAAACGUUGCUCGGAAUCAUUGGGCGUAAAGCGCACGUAGGCGGUUUGUUAUGUCGGAUGUGAAAGCCCUUGGCUCAACUGAGGAAGUGCAUCCGAAACUGGCAAGCUAGAGUACUAAAGAGGGUCGCGGAAUUCCCGGUGUAGAGGUGAAAUUCGUAGAUAUCGGGAGGAACACCGGUGGCGAAGGCGGCGACCUGGGUAGAUACUGACGCUGAGGCACGAAAGCGUGGGGAGCAAACAGG